CUGGCUCAGGAUGAACGCUGGCGGCGUGCCUAACACAUGCAAGUCGUACGCGAAAGGGGCUUCGGCCCUGAGUAAAGUGGCGCACGGGUGAGUAACACGUGGAUAAUCUGCCCGGUGAUCAGGGAUAACAUUCCGAAAGGAAUGCUAAUACCGGAUAAGCCCACGCAUCCUUCGGGGUGAGCGGGAAAAGGUGGGGACCUUCGGGCCUACUGUCACUGGAUGAGUCCGCGUCCCAUUAGCUAGUUGGUGGGGUAAUGGCCUACCAAGGCGACGAUGGGUAGCUGGUCUGAGAGGAUGAUCAGCCACACUGGAACUGAGACACGGUCCAGACUCCUACGGGAGGCAGCAGUGGGGAAUUUUGCGCAAUGGGCGAGAGCCUGACGCAGCAACGCCGCGUGAGUGAUGAAGGCCUUCGGGUCGUAAAGCUCUGUCAGAGGGAAAGAACAACCUGCCGGUUAAUACCCGGCGGGCCUGACGGUACCCUCAAAGGAAGCACCGGCUAACUCCGUGCCAGCAGCUGC
This 521-nucleotide ribosomal RNA is filed under the name uncultured bacterium. RNAcentral describes it as "bacterial SSU rRNA". It matches the Rfam family "Bacterial small subunit ribosomal RNA", at positions 19 to 518 of the family's 1533-position model. The record is from RNAcentral.